AGAAAGGAAAAGAAGAAAUCACAUCUCAGAGAGAAGACUGGUCUUCCUGCUCCCUGGGAUCAAAUGCCAUCAUCUUGUUAACUUAGUCCUAACUCAGCCACCACAAAGGCCCUCUUGAGUUCCCAAAGUGCCCCCCAAACCAUGAUAGGGCCCAAAGCAUGAAAGUCUGUAAUCAUUUGCCUUCACUGGAUCUCAUCAUCACAGAGGAAGUAGACUAGGAGAAGAUUCACUUAUAGAGGCAACAAAUACUGGUGACCAAUGAAAAUGAUGUCUAUCACAUCAUAGGCUGGGCAUUUCAUGGAGAGGACCACAGCAGAUGAGAAGACUGAGAUUCAGAGAAGUAAAGUAUCUUGCUUUGGCCCAGUGGUAAAACCAGGAUUCAAAUGGAGGACCCUUGACAGAGAUUCAUCAUUCGGCUCCUUGGGAGAAUGAGCUUGCAAUGUUAACUACGGUCUGAGACCCCGGCACUGAGUGAAUCAGCCUGACAUGGAGAGAACACUUGUGGUAUGAAGCCCUGUCUAGUGCAAAGCGUCUUUGGGAGAGCUACAAGGUGGGCAAAUAGCAAAGCACAGAAAUGGUGGGCACUGAAAGAUGUCAGGAAAACCUGUGAGGCAGAGGAAAACAGAAAAAUAUAAAACACACUUUUAUCAACAACUUUCACCUGUCAAGUCACAAAAGGGCUGCUCAAAUAUCCCUGUGGUGGGCAUAAAUCCACAUCUCUUUCCCUGGGAAGUAAAUACUCAGUCAAAACAAUGAAUAGCAAAUGUUGUUCUAAUGAUUACUAAAUCGGAAUCAUUCUGUACUUGUCUUUUAGGUUAGCCUUGCCAGUUAUAGAAAAACAGAAAUAAAACAGAGGAAUAAUGUUACACUGUACUUCUGUAGUAGUAAAAAAAUAAAAGUAAGGACAUCUAACAUUGAUGUUUUUACA
This is a long non-coding RNA of Chinchilla lanigera (long-tailed chinchilla), 928 nucleotides long. RefSeq lists it as uncharacterized. Lineage: Eukaryota; Metazoa; Chordata; Mammalia; Rodentia; Chinchillidae. The record is from RefSeq and is a predicted model, not a curated record. The transcript is spliced from 3 exons.